GUGCGAUAAGUAAUGUGAAUUGCAGAAUUCCGUGAAUCAUCGAAUCUUUGAACGCAUAUUGCACUCUCUGGUAUUCCGGUGAGUAUGCCUGUUUGAGGGUCAGUUAAAUAAAAAUCGGGGUAUUUGCUGCCUUUUCGUGGUGAAGCUUCGGAAUUGGGUCGUCUUUACCUAUCCGGUUAAGUGACCUAAAAUUUUUGUAUGAUAUCUGAACGUAUUUAAAUUUAUUUGAUACGUUUUGUAAUAUCGAAUGUUUAUUAGGUGUGGUCAUUCUCAUGACUCACGUCUAUAAUUUUUCAUCUAAUGACCUCAAAUCAGGUAAGAGUACCCGCUGAACUUAA
This 338-nucleotide unclassified non-coding RNA is filed under the name uncultured Dominikia. Its description in RNAcentral is "partial contains 5.8S ribosomal RNA, internal transcribed spacer 2, and large subunit ribosomal RNA". The stretch from base 1 to 102 matches the Rfam family "5.8S ribosomal RNA", at positions 53 to 154 of the family's 154-position model. The record is from RNAcentral. Lineage: Eukaryota; Fungi; Glomeromycota; Glomeromycetes; Glomerales; Glomeraceae.